Molecule: ribosomal RNA, 631 nt
Filed under: Bradyrhizobium sp.
Lineage: Bacteria; Pseudomonadati; Pseudomonadota; Alphaproteobacteria; Hyphomicrobiales; Nitrobacteraceae
Description: bacterial SSU rRNA
Rfam family: Bacterial small subunit ribosomal RNA
Source: RNAcentral
GCAAUACGUCAGCGGCAGACGGGUGAGUAACGCGUGGGAACAUACCUUUUGGUUCGGAACAACACAGGGAAACUUGUGCUAAUACCGGAUAAGCCCUUACGGGGAAAGAUUUAUCGCCGAAAGAUUGGCCCGCGUCUGAUUAGCUAGUUGGUAGGGUAAUGGCCUACCAAGGCGACGAUCAGUAGCUGGUCUGAGAGGAUGAUCAGCCACAUUGGGACUGAGACACGGCCCAAACUCCUACGGGAGGCAGCAGUGGGGAAUAUUGGACAAUGGGGGCAACCCUGAUCCAGCCAUGCCGCGUGAGUGAUGAAGGCCCUAGGGUUGUAAAGCUCUUUUGUGCGGGAAGAUAAUGACGGUACCGCAAGAAUAAGCCCCGGCUAACUUCGUGCCAGCAGCCGCGGUAAUACGAAGGGGGCUAGCGUUGCUCGGAAUCACUGGGCGUAAAGGGUGCGUAGGCGGGUCUUUAAGUCAGGGGUGAAAUCCUGGAGCUCAACUCCAGAACUGCCUUUGAUACUGAAGAUCUUGAGUUCGGGAGAGGUGAGUGGAACUGCGAGUGUAGAGGUGAAAUUCGUAGAUAUUCGCAAGAACACCAGUGGCGAAGGCGGCUCACUGGCCCGAUACUGACGCUAGC